Molecule: long non-coding RNA, 292 nt
Filed under: Anas platyrhynchos platyrhynchos (common mallard)
Lineage: Eukaryota; Metazoa; Chordata; Aves; Anseriformes; Anatidae
Description: lncRNA (ENSAPLG00000016998.1)
Source: RNAcentral
CACAAAUGUAACUUUUUGUUCCAGACAGUAAAAAUAUAACAUCAAUAGAAUGGAAGGAACCCAGUCAUGAUCCAUCUUCACAACAAUGCAUGACAAGGACGCACACUUCAGAGCCCUGCGAGCACUAAGAGGCCUUAAUAGCCAUGAUGGUCCCACCUGGGCACUCCCCGCUCCCUCUGCCUCUCGGCCAGCAGCUGUGUUUGCACCCAGCACCUGCCUGAGGUGUGCCAGACACGCAAUGCUCUUCAGCUCAGCCAGGCCUGGGGCCGGACCAGCACUCACUGCACCGUAG